UUCAAUUGAACAAAUCCAACUAAUGGCCAUCGAAAGUCGUUUCCUUUUAUUUUUUUGGUUGCUUUUCUUGAAUCGGGUCAUUGCAAUUUUUGUGUCGUUUUGACGUUUUUAUUACUUUUCAUGUUUUGACGUUUUGCGUGAGUUGAUAAAAUAUGGGCUUUUUGCCUCUUGUAUUUUAAGUUGGCAUUUUCCUUCCAACAAAUUAGCUUUCAAUUUCACAUAUUCCAGUUCUAAUUUCACAAUAUUAGUUGCCAAUUUUUUCCUCAAAUUACUUUUCCGAAAUACAUUAUUUGACUUUUGUAAAUCUAAUCCAUUUUAAACUCCGUCGAAAGGGCCAAAAAAUAAAGUUCAAAUCCAAUUCCAAUAAAACAAAAAUUUGUUUAAAAGAUAGUGAUAUAUAAAUUUACAAAUUAUCAUUAUAAAACAUAUAUUUUAUAUUAACUAAACAAAUAACGAAAGAAUAAAAAAAAAUUUAAAAAGAAAAGAAAAAUUUACGAGCAUGUGAAUGCAAUAGGCCUUAUAGAAAGAAAGCAGAUCGCAAGCAUAGACAGCUCUUAAAAUAUCGGCAACUAAAAGGACUGAUUUCGCUAUCGGAAUUAGCGAAUCAGCGACGUUUUGCCUUUCUCUUCUCCUUUUAAUUUCAUUCUCUUCAAAACGAAAGUAAAAAGAACAUACGAAAAGAAAAACAACAGGUUGAUAAUUGUUAUUCGUACCUCUGCUGAUUCGAAAUCGCUCAAAGCUGCAGCGAUGAUUCACGCCUUCAAAAGUGGAUUGGGG
RNAcentral lists this long non-coding RNA (777 nucleotides) under Jatropha curcas. Its description in RNAcentral is "long non-coding RNA (JCUR_LNC000457)". The record is from RNAcentral. Lineage: Eukaryota; Viridiplantae; Streptophyta; Magnoliopsida; Malpighiales; Euphorbiaceae.